AGUGAACGCUGGCGGUAGGCCUAACACAUGCAAGUCGAACGGCAGCACAGUAAGAGCUUGCUCUUACGGGUGGCGAGUGGCGGACGGGUGAGGAAUACACCGGAAUCUACUUUUUCGUGGGGGAUAACGUAGGGAAACUUACGCUAAUACCGCAUACGACCUACGGGUGAAAGCAGGGGAUCUUCGGACCUUGCGCGAUUGAAUGAGCCGAUGUCGGAUUAGCUAGUUGGCGGGGUAAAGGCCUACCAAGGCGACGAUCCGUAGCUGGUCUGAGAGGAUGAUCAGCCACACUGGAAGUGAGACACGGUCCAGACUCCUACGGGAGGCAGCAGUGGGGAAUAUUGGACGAUGGGCGCAAGCCUGAUCCAGCCAUACCGCGUGGGUGAAGAAGGCCUUCGGGUGGGAAAGCCCUUUUGUUGGGAAAGAAAAGCAGCAGGUUAAUACCCCGCUGUUCUGACGGUACCCAAAGAAUAAGCACCGGCUAACUUCGUG
Molecule: ribosomal RNA, 492 nt
Filed under: uncultured bacterium
Lineage: Bacteria
Description: partial 16S ribosomal RNA
Rfam family: Bacterial small subunit ribosomal RNA
Source: RNAcentral